Sitodiplosis mosellana (orange wheat blossom midge) is the source of this 3608-nucleotide long non-coding RNA. RefSeq lists it as uncharacterized. The transcript has 2 exons. The record is from RefSeq and is a predicted model, not a curated record. NCBI's taxonomy places the organism in Eukaryota, Metazoa, Arthropoda, Insecta, Diptera, Cecidomyiidae.
AUACGUGCAAAAGACACACAGCAUACAGCGAGCUGCUGUGGCGAGAGCAAGAGAUACCGAGUACAGAGAAGGCGGAUUGCGUGUAUGCAAUAAUGAGUGAUUUCGGUGGAAAUCGAGUAGUCGCAUAUCGGGUAGAGUCGUAUUGGGCGAGAGUCAGAUAGAGAUUGUUUUUUUUUGGUUUUGGCUAUGUGUGUGAGCGAUUUUCGGUUAUGGUGUGUUCGAAAGAAUGAAAUUUUCUAUUUUGGAGUUGAGCCAGUGGUGUCGAAUUGUUUGGCAGCACAGUAUUGUGUGGAUUCUGGCACACAAAACACGCGCGCCAAUCGUUGCCCUACGGGCAAUGAUUGUGUGUCGUGGCGUUUGAAAAAUUCAAAUUUCUCGUUUUUAAAAACAUCAACGCUAAAAUAACCAAGAACACUUUUCUCUCUCGCCAUCGUCCGGGACAUUUUUCUUGAGAAAAGGGCUAAACACUUUAUUUUUUCGUUUUAUUAUGUUAUUUUAAUCGGAUUUGAAGUCGUUGUCAUUUUUGUUGAUUUUCAAGAAGAAAAUUCCGCAAUUUGGUUUUUUUUUUCAACUGAAGAAGAAAAAAAAUGCGUAAAAUCUUAAAAGUUCGCCUAAAAUAAUCUAAAUAAGAAGAAAAUAGAAUAAUCGCAUUAAAUCCGCUGUCAUCGCGAUGAGUUGCACUUUAAACUCGGACUCAAUCGCCACAACGGUCGACGGGUGAUGACGUCGUUGUACACAUAAAAUUCGUUAAUUUGGUUGAUUGCUUUGUUAUUUUUCGUUUUAAAUUCGCGGGCUCAAUUUUAGUUACGUAACCAUUUGAAUCGUCUCCAAGCUGUCUACGACAUAACAAAAUAACUGAGAGAAAAAAAGAGAGCGUGAAUAUGCAGUGUGAGAAUAUUUUCAGUGUUAGCUUCGGUUGCUGCUGAUAUGGUGCAAGAGUGAGUUUGUUUCUUUUGUUCGCCAAGGAAAUAGACCGGUGAAAACAUUUUUGUCUUCGGCCCAAGAUGAGAUGCCAUUGAUGCCGUUACUGCUCCAUCGCUAUCCAACUGGCUAAUACCCAAAAAGUUUUGUGUCAAAGAAAAAUGGCCAACCGAAAUGAAUGAACACACACACACCAGAUAGAGAGAGAGAGUGAAAAAAAGGAUCCUGAACGAAAAAUAUAAUUCUUCAAUUUUGCUGGCCCCGAAUCAAAUCACACACAGCGAAUGUGAGUGAGAGAGCGAGAGCGAGCCUCAAAAAUGGGCGCGUUGCGACAAACCGAGACACAAAAUCGACGAAAAAUUGAAAAUCAUUCUGAGUUGUUGGCACACUGGUGUGUUGAUCUGUUUGGCGAACGACGAAUUUUUAUACCUUGUCAAUGAUGGCUUUGGCUUCAUUCACAUCGUUCACGACACACUCACCCUAAAUCAACACUUUACUCAGCCAGAAUAUUUUUUUAUCCGCCGUUCGUCCGCAACAUUCAGUUGGUGUUGAAAAUUCAUUGUGAUCAGUACGCGGCGCGAGCAGCACUUAAUUCGAACGAAUUAAAUGAAAAAUCAUCUCACGCAACUAUUUUUAAUAUUUCAACUCCUGCUCUUGCAUCGGUUGGAAAAAAAACUGGCCGUACACAUCACACAUGUACGGUAUAGAGUGCAUAAAAUCAAAAAAUCAUCAUAAAUUAAACGGCAUUCAAUUAAGUCGCAUCAAAUAUUUAACGUUAAGUGUAGCAUGCAGAACGAAGCUGGUUAUACUUUGAAAGUCGGGUGUGAUUCCACACGUGCAACGCUUUCGAAAACCGCAAUAGAUAAAUCGUUUGAAAACGGCGUUUUUUUUUCGCAAAGCAUCCAAUAAAACUACUCAAUAAUAAACAAAUUAAUUACUCAAUAAAUAUACUCUAACUAUUUAAUAAAACAUCGCAAACUUUACCGGGGCGAAAUAAUGAAAUAUUCAACACAAUUAAAUAAACUUAAAAUAAACACGAAUCAAUUAGUGACAAGCGCGUAAUGAAUUAAAAGCAGUUUUGAAACGACGAGAGCCCGCUGAAAAUCGCGUGCUCACAACGAAGCGAACGCUCCCACGCACUUGUUGAAACGUAACAAGUCUAUCGAAUUCUCUACUGAAAACUGAAAAUUUUCCCCGAAAAAGAUGGCAAACAUUCAUCCGACACACUUGCGAACUGACUUCCUUCAUACAUCGACUACCCGGAUUAUCCGAAAACACACCAAAUGCUGGCUGAUCCGAACGAAAUACAAAACACCGCACGCAGACACAGUCAACAAACAGCAGUUUGUCAACAACAGUAGUAUUUGUACAUAUAUAAGUUUAACCAUUAAUGACCCAUGAAGAACAGAAAAAUACUCUCCACAACAUAAAAUUAUCUUAUAAAUCGAAAAGAAAAUGCUUGCAAUUCAAGUGGUAGUAUGAGGAGGAGAACAAAAAUGCCAACCGGUUAUUUUGCGCACCAGCACCAUCAAUUGUCCCUUGUAAAAUCGUUGAUAAUCCGUUGGGGUUUUUGGAAUGAAAAAAAUGCUUUGUGUAAAUAAAUCUUGAAUUUUGAACAUUUUCUAAAGCGAUUCAACAAUAUUAUGAUGAAGAAGAACCGGAAUCAUAACAACGGCAUAUUCAUAGGACAAAAGAAAUGUGACAAAGAAUGUGAGAGUGUGAACGAUUUGAGGAAAUAAUUAGAUGUAUAAGACAUUUUCUAGUUGAGAUCGCAUUGUACGAUUGAAAAGCUAAUAUUCUGAAUAAACAAAGGCAAUAGGAAUAGCUCAUGUAAACAUGAAGCAUGCAGCGAUGCAAAGUCCUUGGAUUAGUUUAAGUUUUUCAAUAUUCGCAAUUUCCUAGUUCAAGCCACAACGGUUGAAAUGAGAAUUGGGAGUGAGAGUGUUUUUAUUUAUGGACUCCAUUCAAAAUGCAUGCAAUGAAACGACCCUUGUGAGUUGAACUCCCGAAAUGCACAACACAUUUGAUGAACCGAACUCGAUUUUGCUCCAUAAACUAAAUGCUUUCAAACUGAGGCGAAAGCGUUUGGAUUUAUUUGGGCCAAAUGCCGAAAUUCGAUUCAAAGUCAAAACAGGCACAACUCGGUAUUUUGUUACGUAUUAUAAUUCAAUACAAGUAUUUUUUAAAUUAAACGAUGCGAAGGUUCCAUUGUAGAAAAUUCCUCUAGGACGUAUGUAUAAAUUUGAUAGAUGUAGUUUGGUCAUAGGGUUUUUUGAUGGAAUUUCCACACACACUCACACUAAUCAAGAAUAAUAUUAGUAGCGUAUACUUAUCAAAUAUGCAAGGCACAAUACUUUAGGCUGAAACUCGAAUUGGCUAAUUCAGCGCACCAAAAUCAAAGGAAUAUACCAUUUAUUAGUUACCAGAUUUUACCACUGAUUCCAUGAGAUGCAAUUAGAACACUUGUGUUUCUUUUAGGUUUAUUACCCAAACAACGAUGAAGAUGAUGAGAAUGACGACGAAGACAAAAAUUCGUUCAUAUGACGUUUAACAUGUAGCACAAGAAGAAUUAUCUCUCGAUUUUUUUUCUAAUCUUAACUUCAAAUUUACAAUAUGUACUUACCUAAAUCCGUAGCAAGUAUUUGAACUAAUAAAAAGUAAUGUAGCAGUUUUACGGUUUACCGAAA